CCAUCAUUCAGUUGGGCACUCUAGCGAGACUGCCGGUAAUAACCGGAGAAGUGGGGAUGACGUCAAAUCAUCAUGCCCCUUAUGACCUGGGCUACACACGUGCUACAAUGGUUGGUACAACGAGUUGCGAGUCGGUGACGGCGAGCUAAUCUCUUAAAGCCAAUCUCAGUUCGGAUUGUAGGCUGCAACUCGCCUACAUGAAGUCGGAAUCGCUAGUAAUCGCGGAUCAGCACGCCGCGGUCAUCGUCCGGCCUU
RNAcentral lists this ribosomal RNA (255 nucleotides) under uncultured Streptococcus sp. RNAcentral describes it as "partial 16S ribosomal RNA". It matches the Rfam family "Bacterial small subunit ribosomal RNA", at positions 1118 to 1363 of the family's 1533-position model. The record is from RNAcentral. Lineage: Bacteria; Bacillati; Bacillota; Bacilli; Lactobacillales; Streptococcaceae.